AGCAACUCAUUCAGGAAGCGAUGCUGGCGCAUCAAAGGCCGGGGAGAUGGGAGCAGAGGCAGAAGAAAGAAAGAAAGAAAGAAAGAAAGAAAGAAAGAAAGAAAGAAAGAAAGAAAGAAGAAAGAAAGACUGAAUUUAAGAUGAUGGUGGACCAUCUUGGCUGGAAUGCUAUGAAUCUCAGACACACAUUUUGGAUCAAGAAGAGGAAGCCAAGUACUGAAAAUGGUGGCGCAGGAAGACUGAAAAAAUAUGUAUCCCUCACUACCUUGUCAACUAUUCAACCAAUGGAACUGCCGAUUCCAGACUUUUUCACAUGAGCAAGAAAUAAACAUCUUUCUUCUUUAGUCCACUCUUACUUUUGAGAGCUCUAACUUGCCAUUGAACUGAAAUCUAAGUAGAUUAGGAAUCAUCCACAGAGAGGAGGUGAUGGAGGGAGAGGUGAGUUAUUCAGGAAAAGUAAAGCUAAAGUCCAAGGCUGCUUUGUGAACAGUCACAGGGAGGCACUCUCGAAAGAAACGAAAUAGAACACAUGGCAAGAGAGGCACAGUAGUGGACAAUAUCAUGGAAUCCAAGAGGAGAAAGAGUCUCAAGAAGGGGUUGCCAUGGAAGUUUAGUGAUUCAGAACGUUCAAGUGGAAUAAAGACUGAAAAUGGACUCUAGGUUUGUCCGUCAGGAGGUUAUUGAUAGCCCUUGAGAAUAUGGUGCAAGUAAGAUGAUUUGAAUGGAGGCCAGAGUCUAGAAGAUUGAGAACAGAGUAAGUGCUAAGUAAGUGGAAAAUCUUGAUAGUGAAAGAAAUGGGAUGAAAUAGAAUGGUAGCUGGAGAAGCCGGUAAAACUAAUUUAUUUGAUUUUGUCUUAAAACAGAAGAGAUUGCCUGCAUAUCUACGGAAAAUUAAUUUAUGAUAGAAACCAAGGACAUCUAAUGGGGAAAGGGCAGUCUCUUCAAUAACUGGCGCUGGGAAAACUGGACAGCCUCAUGCAAAAGAAUGUAACAAGAUGGCUGUAUUAUACUGUGAACAAAGAUGAACUCAAAUGGAUUGAAGACUUGAAUGUAAGACCUGAAACCAUAAAACUCCUAGAAGAAAACAGAGGCAGCAAGUUCCAUGACAUUAAUCUGAGUGGUGUAUUUGUAAAUCUAGCACAAAAGACAAAGGAAACAAAAGGGAAAUAAACAAGUGGGACAACAUCAAAUUAAAAAGCUUCUGCACAGUGAAGGAGCCAUCAU
Molecule: long non-coding RNA, 1224 nt
Organism: Ailuropoda melanoleuca (giant panda)
Lineage: Eukaryota; Metazoa; Chordata; Mammalia; Carnivora; Ursidae
Exons: 3
Source: RefSeq, a predicted model, not a curated record